This 863-nucleotide long non-coding RNA is filed under the name Olea europaea subsp. europaea. Lineage: Eukaryota; Viridiplantae; Streptophyta; Magnoliopsida; Lamiales; Oleaceae. The record is from RNAcentral.
CUACAUCAAAAAUUCUCCUUAUAACCUAUGUGAAUACUUAAGUAAGUUCACUCUAGAAGAAAUUGAUAAGUUAGUGGUAGAUAUGUUGAUAGGCAUUCAGAUGAAAUUGAUGCCCAGAAUUCAGGUGAAGUUGGAUAAGUUAAGAGAUUACAAUGUGUCAUGCCAGCCAUAUCGUUAAUCCUUUCAAUUUUGCAAGCAUCGUUUACUCGAUGAUGGAUGGGGUACCAAUUUUCAAAGUUUAGUGACUUACAUGGCUAGUUUUGAAGUUCAGUGACCAUUUAGGGAAUUUACCCAAUGUUAGACAGAAAAUACAUUCCAUUCUCAUUGCUGUUUUGGUCAAGAGGAGAAAGUUGGUGGCGAGUAGCUAAGCAGAUCAUGAAGAACUGAACUUCUAAAAGAAUCUCCUCUACUAUGGAUUCAGAGUUUAGUCCAACAUAGACAUGACCUUUCUAGACAAAUUGCUGCAGGCAGAAUGUCAUUUGCUGUUUUAGAAUUAGUAAAAAACUAGAGAAGGUAUUCAAGUUUCAGACUGCGUAAAUGUUAUUAGUACGACCUACGUUACAUCUAAACAUAAAACUGCACCUCUAAACCUGAGGAUAGUACUUGGGAUCUUCCAACCUUGUUGGUCGAGCCAAUAUGCUUUCCUUCAGAAGCCACUUGCAUGUGACGGACAGCUAAUAGUUUCUUGAGUGAACCAAGCCACAACUGAGGCUGAGGAUAAGUGAUUCUUCAAUCGUGGUGUAAAAUAGGUCUAAAUUGUGAUUUAAAUCUCCAAAGUGAUUGAAAACAUGUAAAUUUUUUGUAGAAUUCACAUCUUUUUUUACGGUUACAAGAGAUAAAAAGUGAAUCUAGAUCAUUCAUUU